RNA transcript from Mangifera indica (mango), 2307 nucleotides. It is a transcript of the gene named protein DETOXIFICATION 45, chloroplastic-like, with no coding region annotated. NCBI's taxonomy places the organism in Eukaryota, Viridiplantae, Streptophyta, Magnoliopsida, Sapindales, Anacardiaceae. The transcript is spliced from 16 exons. The record is from RefSeq and is a predicted model, not a curated record.
AGUAGAGAUUUCGAAGUUGCAAAACACAAAAUGAGCAUCGUGGGUGGAGUCGAGUUGAGUUGGGAUUCAACAGACAAAUAUUAAACUUAAAACUCCGUACGCCGAAGCUCUCGAACUCAACGACCCAACCCUUGCUUUGUCUAUUACUUGGAAUCCACUGCUAGUACAUUUUAGACAAUGACGACUACACAACUUAAUGGUGGUAGACUUUCUAGUGGACUUAGAACUAGAAGUAGACAGCAGAAUUCAGUAUGCAAAGCAAUUGCAUCAAGGUUUCAAUUGCAACAAGGUGGAGUUCGUGAUUCUUGUGUAGCGUUAGAUAGAUAUUGCCGCCUGUCCUUGGAGCAUAAAAGUAGUGUGCCAUUCUUGGUUACUCGCGGUAGAAAUUCUAAAUCUCCUGUGGUUUAUAAUCAACUGAAUUCUGAUUUGGGUGUGGAUUCUGCCGAUGUGGAGGAGAGGUUUAAUUUGAAAGAUGAGAGUGGUUUCAAUCAUUUGUCCAUAAAGCAUCCUGAGUUUGAAAGAAUUCCUAUCAGUGACUAUCUAGAUUCCAAUCGUGAGGUUGACAAAACGCAUUUUGUAGAUGUCAAGCGUGAGCUUACAAUGCUUACUUUGCCUGCAAUUGCUGGACAGGCUUUUGAUCCCUUAGCACAGCUGAUGGAGACUGCUUAUAUUGGUAAACUAGGUUCUGUUGAGUUGGCUUCUGCUGGUGUUUCUAUAUCCAUCUUUAAUAUUAUCUCGAAGAUAUUUAAUUUUCCUCUGCUCAGUGUUGCUACUUCUUUUGUUGCUGAGGAAGUUUCAAGUAAUGCAGUUAAGGAUUCAACAUCAGGAGGCAGUGGUAAUAGAUUACCUUCAACUGAGAUAACUGAAAGAAAGCAGUUAGCCUCAGUGUCAACGGCUUUACUGUUAGCAGUUGGGAUUGGAAUCUUUGAGGCCUUAGCACUAUCUUUGGGUUCUGGACCGUUUCUAAACUUGAUGGGUGUAACAUCAGCAUCUGAGAUGUUUGCUCCAGCUCAAAGAUUUCUGAUGCUCAGAGCCCUUGGAGCUCCAGCAGUAGUGGUUUCCUUGGCUCUUAAUGGCAUCUUUCGUGGCUUUAAAGAUACAAAGACUCCUUUAAUAUGUCUAGGUCUUGGUAACUCGUUUGCUGUAUUCUUGUUUCCCCUAUUUAUAAAUUAUUGUCAGUUGGGUAUAAGCGGAGCUGCGAUGUCAACUGUGGUGUCUCAGUACAUCAUUGCUGCUGUGAUGAUCUGGUAUUUGAACAAGAAAGUUGUGUUACUGCUUCCAAAGAUGGGAGAUCUGAAAUUUGGAGGCUAUAUAAAAUCUGGUGGCUUUCUUUUAGGAAGAACUCUUGCUGUUCUGGUAACAAUGACGUUGGGGACGUCCAUGGCUGCUCGCCAGGGGUCAGAUGCUAUGGCUGCACAUCAAAUAUGCAUGCAAGUCUGGUUGGCUGUAUCUCUUCUAACUGAUGCUCUAGCUGCAUCUGGUCAGGCCCUGAUUGCAAGUUAUGUAUCUAAAGGUGACUUCAAGACUGUCCAACAAGUUACUAGUUUUGUGUUAAAGAUAGGAGUAGUCACAGGUGUUUCCUUGGCUGCAAUUUUGGGGCUAUCUUUUGGAUCAUUGGCCUCUUUGUUCACCAAAGAUCCUAAAGUUUUAGGAAUAGUUAGAACUGGAAUAUUGUUUAUCAGUGCCACUCAACCGAUUACUGCACUGGCUUUUAUUUUUGAUGGCCUCCAUUAUGGCAUUUCUGACUUUCCAUAUGCUGCUUGUUCUAUGAUGUUGGUUGGGUCAAUUGCUUCUACAUUUCUUCUUUAUGCUCCUCGGGUUUUUGGUCUUCCUGGGGUGUGGUUAGGCUUGGCACUCUUUAUGGCCUUGCGUAUGGUGGCUGGAUUUGUCAGGUUACUAUCAAAAACUGGUCCGUGGUGGUUCCUCCACACUGAUUUAGAGAAAGCCAUGUUUUGAGUAGGAAUAUAUUGGUGCUUACUACCACAUUAUUUGACUGCAAGCUCAUUACUUUUUUGGUUUUUGUUUUCCUUUAUUCACCUUUUGUGACAGUUCUGCUGAUUCUAUCAGCUGGCCUGAAAUCAGAGCAAUCUGGGAAUGAAUAGAGGACAUCAAUUGUUGAGUUAGAAUAAUCUCAAAGAUAUCUUUCAGUGGAUUAGUUUUUUUUUUUGGUUGUUGAUAGAUCAAUUAAUUUACAAUGCGCAAUUCAUUGUAGCCUGUAGAUAUGUUAGGAAACCUUAAACCACAGGUUUUAUUGAUUUAUGUGAUUGAACAAAUUACUUCUGAAUAUUAGUUUUGUCAUCCCAAUUA